UAAUACGGGGGGAGCAAGCGUUGUCCGGAAUUACUGGGCGUAAAGGGCGUGUAGGCGGGCCUGUAAGUCAGAAGUGAAAUCUAUCGGCUUAACCGAUGGCCUGCUUCUGAUACUACAGGUCUUGAGUAGGACAGAGGAAAGUGGAAUUCUUGGUGUAGCGGUGAAAUGUGUAGAUAUCAGGAAGAACACCGGUAGCGAAGGCGGCUUUCUGGGUCUUUACUGACGCUGAGGCGCGAAAGCAUGGGGAGCGAACAGGAUUAGAUACCCUGGUAGUCCAUGCCCUAAACGAUGAGCACUAGGUGUUGGAGGUUCGGCCCUUCCAGUGCCGCAGCUAACGCAUUAAGUGCUCCGCCUGGGGAGUACGAUCGCAAGGUUG
RNAcentral lists this ribosomal RNA (376 nucleotides) under uncultured bacterium. Its description in RNAcentral is "bacterial SSU rRNA". It matches the Rfam family "Bacterial small subunit ribosomal RNA", at positions 521 to 896 of the family's 1533-position model. The record is from RNAcentral.